CAGCACAGUUCCCAGGGUCCCCAAACCAUGAUCUAGCCCGCAUCUAGCACUCACCUCUUCUUUCCAUCGCCUCCCAAUAACGACAUGGAAUUGUGAUCUUGCCGGUGAAUUGAUCCACUAAGCAAGUUAGAAGCUUCGUGACCCAGUCAUUUCCCCGACCCAGUCUUCAAUUCAAUGAGCAUUUUUUUUGGGGGGUGACAUUUUCAACCUCAGCCACGACAGCACAUGAAGCAAGAAGAAGCCCUCGUCUACUGAGGGUGGCUGGGCUGAGGACCUGCGGUAGAGGCUGAGCAAGGGCUAUGAAGGGAAAGGAAGAAGCCUGGUAGGGACCAGUACGAGUUGGUACGCAGCUUACUUUCUAGUUACACAUUUAACAGAUUCUAGCUACUCCAGACAUUUGUGUGUACAACUGCAAGGCAAGAGAGCAUUUUGACUGAGAGGAGUAGGCAUUAAGGCUGUGUUCAGUGUUUUCACCAAGAUGGCAUCAAAGGCAAAGAAGGAAGCUCCUGCCUCUCCCAAGGCUGAAGCCAAAGCAAAAGCUUUGAAGGCCAAGAAGGCAGGCGGAAAGGCACGUCACCACUCUCCAGUGUCCCAAGACACUGCGGCUCUGGAGACAGCCUGAGCACCCUUGGACAAGGGUCCCCCAGCCUGCUAAUCCCUAUUCUCCUGCAAGCAUCAAAGUCUCGUACGGGAAAUGUAUGCUAUUGUUUUAAGCUCGAGAUUCACCUGUCACCUCUCUUGAGGGGAAGAUGACAACCAAAGUUGCCAAAGUCAGUACCAGAUCAGGCCCGACGGAGUGAAGAAGGCGUAGAUUCCACUGGCUCCUGAUGACGAUGCUUUGGAUGUUGCCAUAAAAAAUGUGAUCAUCUAAAUUGAGUCCAGCUGGCUAAUGUUGCCAUUGGAGGUUGUCAAAGACCCUUGGAUCUUCCAGGUGACCUGAAGCACAGUUUUGGAUCUCUCAUUUUGCUCUGAUCUGCUAUCUGUAACUCAGUGGCCAGCUCUGUGUCAUCUUCCCCUCAAGAGAGGUGACAGGUGAAUCUCGAGCUUAAAACAAUAGCAUACAUUUCCCGUACAAGACUUUGUUGCUAAUAGAGCUAGACAAUCUGGCCUGAGGCAAAAUAGACGUGCA
Molecule: long non-coding RNA, 1129 nt
Filed under: Heterocephalus glaber (naked mole-rat)
Lineage: Eukaryota; Metazoa; Chordata; Mammalia; Rodentia; Bathyergidae
Description: lncRNA (ENSHGLG00100051932.1)
Source: RNAcentral